This 510-nucleotide ribosomal RNA is filed under the name uncultured bacterium. Its description in RNAcentral is "partial 16S ribosomal RNA". It matches the Rfam family "Bacterial small subunit ribosomal RNA", at positions 28 to 507 of the family's 1533-position model. The record is from RNAcentral.
GACGAACGCUGGCGGCGUGCUUAACACAUGCAAGUCGAACGAAGAGCGAUGGAAGCUUGCUUCUAUCAAUCUUAGUGGCGAACGGGUGAGUAACGCGUAAUCAACCUGCCCUUCAGAGGGGGACAACAGUUGGAAACGACUGCUAAUACCGCAUACGAUCUAAUCUCGGCAUCGAGGAUAGAUGAAAGGUGGCCUCUACAUGUAAGCUAUCACUGAAGGAGGGGAUUGCGUCUGAUUAGCUAGUUGGAGGGGUAACGGCCCACCAAGGCGAUGAUCAGUAGCCGGUCUGAGAGGAUGAACGGCCACAUUGGGACUGAGACACGGCCCAGACUCCUACGGGAGGCAGCAGUGGGGAAUCUACCGCAAUGGACGAAAGUCUGACGGAGCAACGCCGCGUGAGUGAUGACGGCCUUCGGGUUGUAAAGCUCUGUUAAUCGGGACGAAAGGCCUUCUUGCGAAUAGUGAGAAGGAUUGACGGUACCGGAAGAGAAAGCCACGGCUAACUACGUG